GACCUUGAACUCCUGAUCUUCCUGCCUCCUCCUCCCAAUUGCUGCGAUUACAGGUGUUCACCACUAUACCCAGCUUC
Arvicanthis niloticus (Nile rat) is the source of this 77-nucleotide non-coding RNA. Lineage: Eukaryota; Metazoa; Chordata; Mammalia; Rodentia; Muridae. The record is from RefSeq and is a predicted model, not a curated record.